GACGAACGCUGGCGGCGUGCUUAACACAUGCAAGUCGAGCGGUAAGGCCCUUUCGGGGGUACACGAGCGGCGAACGGGUGAGUAACACGUGGGUGACCUGCCUUUAGCUCUGGGAUAAGCCUGGGAAACUGGGUCUAAUACCGGAUAUGACUCCGCGGUGCAUGCUGUGGGGUGGAAAGCCUUGUGCGGCUGGAGAUGGGCCCGCGGCCUAUCAGCUUGUUGGUGGGGUGAUGGCCUACCAAGGCGACGACGGGUAGCCGGCCUGAGAGGGCGACCGGCCACACUGGGACUGAGACACGGCCCAGACUCCUACGGGAGGCAGCAGUGGGGAAUCUUGCGCAAUGGGCGAAAGCCUGACGCAGCGACG
RNAcentral lists this ribosomal RNA (367 nucleotides) under uncultured bacterium. Its description in RNAcentral is "bacterial SSU rRNA". It matches the Rfam family "Bacterial small subunit ribosomal RNA", at positions 28 to 396 of the family's 1533-position model. The record is from RNAcentral.